Molecule: ribosomal RNA, 186 nt
Filed under: Mecolaesthus longissimus
Lineage: Eukaryota; Metazoa; Arthropoda; Arachnida; Araneae; Pholcidae
Description: partial 12S ribosomal RNA
Source: RNAcentral
AAUAUUUUAAAUAUUCAUUUGCUUUGGCAGUCACAAAUUUUUUUAAAGAAACUUGUUUUAUAAUCGACACUACACGAUAAAUCUAUCUUAAAACAAAAUCUUACAUACCGCCGUUUAAAGUAUAUUAAUUAAUCUGUUUCAUAAACAAAUAUUUUUAAAAAUCAGGUCAAGGUGUAGUACAAUACU